Molecule: long non-coding RNA, 796 nt
Filed under: Lynx canadensis (Canada lynx)
Lineage: Eukaryota; Metazoa; Chordata; Mammalia; Carnivora; Felidae
Description: lncRNA (ENSLCNG00005019843.1)
Source: RNAcentral
GUUACUAGAGAAUUGGGAAAGGCUUAAAUAAGUAUCCUGCACAUGGUUAUCAAAUCAUUGUAAAGUCUUGAAAAUCAUCUGGAAUGCUUGUUAAAAAUGCAGAUUUCUGGGCAGCCAGAAACCUUGCACUAGUCAAGAGCAACACUAAGACCCACCUGUCAUUUAUAUUGAGGCUUCCUGCCCGGUGGGUUCAUCAGCAAGCCAGAAUGAAUCACCAUUGCUGUGUGUGGAUCCUUGUGAGGCAGCUGGGAAGUCUUGGAUAGGAGGAAUUAAUCCAUUGCUAUGUAAAAAUGAGAUCUGGACAAAGGAACAGCCAUCUCAGUCAAGUAAGUGAUUAUUUUGACAUGGAAGUAAAUAUUUUUCUUUGACCUUUUGUUGUAUGUGUUCUAUUUAAUCGUUUUCUUAGUAAUGAACCUACCUUGCAUCUCUAGAAGAAAACUUUUUACUUUAUAAUGAUUUUGAAUUAGGUUUCCUAAAUUUGCUAUUUUUAAUGUUAUUUUCUGUUUUAUUUUUUACUCUUUUGUUUCUGUUUAACAGUGAGUUUUUGGUUAGGGUGGCAGUCUUUGUCAGGUGUUGAAGUUAGGGUCAUUAAUGAAAUCUUGUUUCCUGGUCUUUUAAAUUUAGCAGAUCUCAAACAUGUUCCAUGCCAUUAAAUAUGGUUUAGAUAUGGUUUAGGGGCACCUGGGUAGUUCAGUCGGUUAAGUGUCCUACUUCAGCUUAGGUCAUGAUCUCACGAUUUCAUGAGUUCAGGCCCUGCGUUGGGCUCUGUGCUGACAGUUCAGAGCCUGGAGCCUGC